GUUCUUGUCAUGACCCAAAUCACGUCCUGACCGUGAUGAGUAUCUCAAGCCCCACGUGGAUCGAACAUCGCCCCCUUCACAUAACCUAACCAACAUAUCAACCACAAGAAUUGGAUGAAUCUUAAACAUAUAACAAGAUAUGCAAAAUGUGACUAACAAUAGCUCAUGAAAUGUCUAAAUCAUUCAUCAACACAACAUACUAAACCAACAAACCCAAGUCCACAG
This 225-nucleotide long non-coding RNA is filed under the name Capsicum annuum. RNAcentral's name for it is "long non-coding RNA (CANN_LNC015802)". Lineage: Eukaryota; Viridiplantae; Streptophyta; Magnoliopsida; Solanales; Solanaceae. The record is from RNAcentral.